This 1102-nucleotide long non-coding RNA is filed under the name Lonchura striata (white-rumped munia). Its description in RNAcentral is "domestica (Bengalese finch) lncRNA (ENSLSDG00000017278.1)". Lineage: Eukaryota; Metazoa; Chordata; Aves; Passeriformes; Estrildidae. The record is from RNAcentral.
GCUGUGGUGUGUCUGCUCUGCCUUCAGCUGAUGAUCGCUGUGCCCCCAGAGCCGCCCGAGCACUGGUGCCGCUAUCAGGGCCCGGAAUGGCUGCGUGUGACUGUGUAACUGUGUGUGUGACUGUGUGUGUGACUGUGUGUGUGACUGUGUGACUGUGUGUGACUGUGUGUGACUGUGUGUGUGACUGUGUGUGACUGUGUGUGUGACGGUGUGUGUGACUGUGUGUGUGACAUUGCGUGUGACUGUUUGUGUGACUGUGUGUGACUGUGUGUGUGACUGUGUGUGUGGCUGUGUGUGUGGCUGUGCGUGUGACUGUGUGUGUGACUGUGUGUGACUGUGUGUGGCUGUCUGUGUGUGUGAGCCCUGUCCGUGUGUCUGUCUGUGUGUGUGAGCCCUGUGUGUCUGUCUCUGUGUGUGAGCCCUGUCUGUGUGUCUGGCUGUGUGUGAGCCCUGUCUGUGUGUCUGUCUCUGUGUGUGAGCCCUGUCUGUGUGUCUGUCUCUGUGUGAGCCCUGUCUGUGUGUCUGUCUGUGUGUGUGAGCCCUGUCUGUGUGUCUGUCUGUGUGUGUGAGCUCUGUCUGUGUGUCUGGCUGUGUGUGAGCCCUGUCUGUGUGUCUGUCUGUGUGUGUGAGCCCUGUCCGUGUGUGUGAGCCCUGUCCGUGUGUCUGGCUGUGUGUGUGAGCCCUGUCCGUGUGUCUGGCUGUGUGUGAGCCCUGUCCGUGUGUCUGUCUCUGUGUGAGCCCUGUCUGUGUGUCUGUCUCUGUGUGAGCCCUGUCUGUGUGUCUGGCUGUGUGUGUGAGCCCUGUCUGUGUGUCUGGCUGUGUGUGAGCCCUGUCUGUGUGUCUGUCUGUGUGUGUGAGCCCUGUCUGUGUGUCUGUCUGUGUGUGAGCCCUGUCUGUGUGUCUGGCUGUGUGUAAGCCCUGUCUGUGUGUCUGUCUGUGUGUGUGAGCCCUGUGUGUCUGUCUCUGUGUGUGAGCCCUGUCUGUGUGUCUGUCUGUGUGUGUGAGCCCUGUCUGUGUGUCUGACCCCGCCGAGCCCGCGGGGCGCUCCCGCCGCAAGAUGGCGGCGCCGCGGCCCCGCCCCCGCCUCGCCCAAGAUGGCGGC